This is a long non-coding RNA of Cyprinus carpio (common carp), 1377 nucleotides long. Lineage: Eukaryota; Metazoa; Chordata; Actinopteri; Cypriniformes; Cyprinidae. The record is from Ensembl.
AUGUUAACAGUAAAGUCUAUUUUGUCUCAGAUUCAACCAAACAACUGGUUUGUCACGAUCGAUCUGAAGGAUGCAUAUUUUCAUAUUCAGAUCAUCAAGAGACACAGGAAGUUCCUCAGAUUCGCUUUAGAGGGCAAAGUGUAUCAAUACCGCGUUCUUCCCUUUGGCUUAGCCCUGGCUCCCCGAACUUUUUCGAAAUGCAUGGACGCAGCUCUGGCCCCGUUGCGGCUCCAGGGCGUUCGUGUGUUGAAUUACUUAGACGAUUGGCUGGUGUUAGCACAAUCGCAGACUCAAGCACACUCUCACCGGGAUCUUGUGCUGAAUCAUCUAAACAGCCUGGGCUUAUGCACGAAUUUCCAGAAGAGUGUUUUAAUUCCCUCUCAACGGAUAACCUUUCUGGGAAUAGACUUGGACUCUCGCGCAAUAACAGCAAGACUAUCUCUCCCGCGCGCUCAGUCUCUCGCGUCAUGCGUGCGUCAAUUCAAAGUAGGUCGCACAGUGAUGGUGAGUUUGUGCCUCAGACUUUUAGGUCUAAUGGCAGCGGCAUCCCCUGUAAUCCGUCUGGGCUUACUUCAUAUGCGCCCAUUUCAGUGGUGGACGAAAAGCCGGAACAUUUCACCCCGUUGUCUUCCGCAUUGGACGAUUUCGGUGACACGGAGGUGUGUUAUGUCAAUAAGACAAUGGAUGUCAACCGAAUUCCUUCUAGCUGGAGUUUGGCUGGGGGUUUGUGCUUCCCGAGAGACUGUCACGACGGACGCGUCUUUGACCGGUUGGGGAGCUGUUUGUCAAGGGCGCCCAGCUCACGGAGUAUGGACGGCGACACAACGCUGCUGGCAUAUAAACAGGUUGGAAUUACUGGCAGUUUUUCUAGCUCUCCAGUAUUUCUUGAAUCUGCUGAUCGGCCGUCCCUUUGAACUUCGGAGCGGAUUUGCUAUCCAGACAGAAUGGAGGUUGCACCCCCAAACGGUGAGCCUUUUAUGGCAAAUAUUUGGAGAAGCAAGAGUGGACUUAUUCGCGUCGAGCAUGACUACGUAUUGCCCGCUGUGGUUCUCCCUACGCCCUCCAUCGCCCCUAAGGCUUGGACGCGUUAGCCCACAAUUGGCCCAGAACCAGCUUGUAUGCUUUUCCCCUGAUUCGUCUAAUUCCAGCGGUGUUAUCCAGGAUACGGCUGGACAGAGUGGAGCAUCUUCUGCUGGUGGCUCCGUGGUGGCCCACACAGCCGUGGUUUGUGGAUCUGGUCAGUCUGGUAGCGGGCUCUCCAUGGGAGAUUCCCCUCAGACAGGACUUACUAUCGCAAGCACAGGGAAUGAUUUGGCACCCAAGGCCAGAUCUAUGGAAGCUGUGGGCGUGGCCUCUGAGCGGAGUGAGUUAAUAUGA